This 427-nucleotide ribosomal RNA is filed under the name uncultured Stenotrophomonas sp. RNAcentral's name for it is "bacterial SSU rRNA". It matches the Rfam family "Bacterial small subunit ribosomal RNA", at positions 356 to 774 of the family's 1533-position model. Lineage: Bacteria; Pseudomonadati; Pseudomonadota; Gammaproteobacteria; Lysobacterales; Lysobacteraceae. The record is from RNAcentral.
GGGGAAUAUUGGACAAUGGGCGCAAGCCUGAUCCAGCCAUGCCGGGUGGGUAAAGAAGGCCUUCGGGUUGUAAAGCCCUUUUGUUGGGAAAGAAAAGCAGCCGGCCAAUACCCGGUUGUUCUGACGGUACCCAAAGAAUAAGCACCGGCUAACUUCGUGCCAGCAGCCGCGGUAAUACGAAGGGUGCAAGCGUUACUCGGAAUUACUGUGGCGUAAAGCGUGCGUAGGUGGUCGUUUAAGUCCGUUGUGAAAGCCCUGGGCUCAACCUGGGAACUGCAGUGGCUACUGGAUCACGUGAGCGUGGCAGAGGGUAGUGGAAUUCCCGGUGUAGCAGUGAAAUGCGUAGAGAUCGGGAGGAACAUCACUGGCGAAGACGACUGCCUGGGCCAACACUGACACUGAGGCACGAAAGCGUGAGGAGCAAACA